Molecule: ribosomal RNA, 490 nt
Filed under: uncultured bacterium
Lineage: Bacteria
Description: bacterial SSU rRNA
Rfam family: Bacterial small subunit ribosomal RNA
Source: RNAcentral
CGUGCUUCAUACAUGCAAGUCGUACGAGAAAGUUUCCUUCGGGAAGCAAGUAAAGUGGCGAACUGGUGAGUAACACGUGAGCAACCUGCCUUAAAGUCUGGGAUAACCUUGAGAAAUUGGGGCUAAUACCAGAUGUGGCUCGAUCAACGCAUGUUGAUCGGAUUAAAGAUUACCUCUCCCUGGAAGUGAUCGCUUUAAGAUGGGCUCGCGGCCUAUUAGCUUGUUGGUGAGGUAACAGCUCACCAAGGCGACGAUGGGUAGCCGGCCUGAGAGGGUGUACGGCCACAUUGGGACUGAGAUACGGCCCAAACUCCUACGGGAGGCAGCAGUAGGGAAUAUUGCGCAAUGGGCGAAAGCCUGACGCAGCAACGCCGCGUGAGCGAUGAAGGCCUUCGGGUCGUAAAGCUCUGUCAGGUGAGAAGAAACCUUUAUAGGCUAAUAACUUAUAGAGUUGACAGUAUCACCAGAGGAAGCUCCGGCUAACUCCGUG